AAAGUCGUAACAAGGUCUCCGUUGGUGAACCAGCGGAGGGAUCAUUACCGAGUUUCUACUCAUAACCCAUUGUGAACUUACCUUUUGUUGCUUCGGCGGACCGGGGGAGCCCUCUCGGGGGCCGACCCGCCGCCGGGGAAAACCAAACCUCUGUUUUUACCAUGUGUAUCUUCUGAGUUAAAACAUAAAUAAAUCAAAACCUUUAACAACGGAUCUCUUGGCUCUG
Molecule: unclassified non-coding RNA, 226 nt
Filed under: Ascomycota sp.
Lineage: Eukaryota; Fungi; Ascomycota
Description: partial contains small subunit ribosomal RNA, internal transcribed spacer 1, and 5.8S ribosomal RNA
Rfam family: Eukaryotic small subunit ribosomal RNA (bases 1-47)
Source: RNAcentral